RNAcentral lists this long non-coding RNA (232 nucleotides) under Bos taurus (domestic cattle). RNAcentral's name for it is "long non-coding RNA NONBTAT011350". Lineage: Eukaryota; Metazoa; Chordata; Mammalia; Artiodactyla; Bovidae. The record is from RNAcentral.
ACCAGCAAACCACCACCAAGAGAACUCUCUUACAGAAUUUGAAUGUGGCAGGGAACCAAUUAAAAGUAUGAGUUAAAGUUGUUCACUGCCUAUUCUAGGUAAGACACACCAUCAUUUCUACAUUUUGGAUAUGAGUUUUACUCACUGAUAAUUUAAUCAAUAAAUACAAAUGUAAACAUUUCUAGUACCAGCACAGAUUUUAAAUUAUAACUCUUGUCCUCUCCCCAAGUAA